This 233-nucleotide ribosomal RNA is filed under the name uncultured bacterium. Its description in RNAcentral is "partial 16S ribosomal RNA". It matches the Rfam family "Bacterial small subunit ribosomal RNA", at positions 524 to 755 of the family's 1533-position model. The record is from RNAcentral.
GACAUAGGUGGCGAACGUUAUCCGGAUUUAUUGGGCGUAAAGGAUGCGUAGAUGGUGGAAUAAGUUAUUGGUCAAAGUCAAGCUCAACUUGGCGGAAGCUGGUAAUACUAUUCUACUUGAGGAUAGGAGAGGUUGGCGGAAUUCUGUGUGGAGCGGUGAAAUGCGUUGAUCUACAGAGGAACACCAAAAAAGGCGAAGGCAGCCAACUAUUCUAUUCCUGACAUUGAGGCAUG